RNAcentral lists this non-coding RNA (134 nucleotides) under Poecilia formosa (Amazon molly). RNAcentral's name for it is "Eukaryotic large subunit ribosomal RNA". It matches the Rfam family "Eukaryotic large subunit ribosomal RNA", at positions 2825 to 2963 of the family's 3401-position model. The record is from Rfam by way of RNAcentral. Lineage: Eukaryota; Metazoa; Chordata; Actinopteri; Cyprinodontiformes; Poeciliidae.
GACAACUGGCUUGUGGCGGCCAAGCGUUCAUAGCGACUUCGCUUCAAUGUCGGCUCUUCCUAUCAUUGAGAAGCAAAAUUCACCAAGUGUUGGAUUGUUCUCCCACUAAAAGGGAACGUGAGCUGAGACAGGUU